RNAcentral lists this non-coding RNA (1776 nucleotides) under Pongo abelii (Sumatran orangutan). Lineage: Eukaryota; Metazoa; Chordata; Mammalia; Primates; Hominidae. The record is from RNAcentral.
GGCUGGAAAUGGAAGAUGAGAGGAUGCUGGACAACCUGGGGAGAGAGGGACUUCAUGGCUGGGAGUGAGAGUGGAGGAGAAGGUGGCAUUUUGGUGGAUGGGUGGAGGAAGAGCAUAGGCACAGAUGGCCACGUGGAGUGUGGUCCACAGAUAAGUCACCUGGUGGAGUGCAGCCACAGUGCCUGAAUCAUGAGGUCUUAGCUCUUGUUUCAGGAACACAGUCAUCCCUAAGAAAUGGAUUGGGUGACAAGUGGUUUGCAUGCUGCACACGGGCACUGGGUGAGUGUGCGUGGAGCUGCUUGUCAGGACGUUAUUAGCAAUAGACAGAACACGAGGGAAGUAAUCAGUGAAGGAAGACAAAGUUGUUAAGUUGUUUCUGACUUUAUCUUUGGAGCGGGCUUACAGAACAUUUGAGUGGGCUUUUUAGUAUAAGAGAAAGAGCUCUACACUUUUGCCCAAUUCUAGUUUUAGGCUCCAAAACAAAUUUUACUGGGGUUCUGAACUGAGGGGUUAGAUUGUUUUCGUUAACUUUUAUUCUUAUAAAUAUUUUUGGCCAUUGCAGUUCAAUCAGAAGAAAAGUAGAAAGCAGGUCAUUUUUACCUUCUCUAAGAAAAGAAACCCAAAAUUUACAAGAAAGCCCAUUCUUGAAAGUCCCUUGUGCUGCUAGGCAGGGCCUGUCUAUUAUUUUCAGACAGAUGUUGAACCUUCAGAAUUUCCUCCGUGCAUCGGGGUCACUGACUACUUGUGUCUAAUGCAACUCUCUGCACCAACUAGAUUGUGCCCCGACCUGUAUUUUCACUUUAGAAACCUCAUAUUCCAACGUUGCUCAAGGUCGACUGUCACUGACCGGGCUUUUCUUUACGACUGUACUUAUGAAGAACAAAUGUACUUGUAGAUGUUUGGGGACUUCAAGUUUAGUUUACAAAUGUGUAUGUCCUCAUUUGAGAUUUGAUUUGUAUUAUAUUUAGGCAAGUUUUCUGGCUCUUAAUGGGAUCCUAAUGAGUCACCAAUGGUAAGGCUUCAGAUUCAGACCUUCCUGUUAGGAUGGGGAUGAGCUGUUUUUCCUCAUUUGCCAAUUAUUUGGAAGAGAAAACCAAUGUAAUGCAAUCAGAAUCCAGUUGUAUUAUUAAGACCUGCAUUUGAAACCUAGUUUCUUCUAUCGGAAGUAAUUUUUCUGAUUUUUGGAUUAUGUUACUUCUCCUUCAUAUAAAUGAAUGUUACUGCUUGUGUGGUGUUACCACACCUAGCUUAUAGAAAUAAAUGACAGGCCACCUGGGGGUCUGCCCGUGCAAGCAUGAACUAAGCAGCAACAAGCAGUACGCCCUGCGGUGACCAGUGUGUCAGCAUUCACAUAAGCCCAGGACAGUGAAUGCGGGCCCUUGUCAGUCAUGGGCAUCAGGCGCAUGGCACUGGGCACAGCUGACUGCCUGUUGAUGCUGACGGCUGGAUGGCUGCAUUUAAGUACACUUUCACAAAACUCAUUUGUAGCUCUUCCUGAAGAAACCUAAAUGGAAUUAGUUUGUUGGAGGGCCGCAAUGUAACAUUUUAAAAUAGAGAACAAAAUGGUGUAUGUUGCUGUUUCAUGGAAAAGAGAACAUGGGAGAAACUAGCAAUCUGUAAGCUAAAAAUUGAUGGCAGCCCCUGCCACAAUGAAUAAUUGGCAAUGCCAUUCAGCCUUUAAAGGCAUCAGAUAAUGAAUAAGCAGGGCAUAAGGCAUCUAGUUCCCUUCCAUUAUUCUCCAAUAGGUUAUGUAAUAAAUAUCCAUCCCUGAUAGAU